AGUGAACGCUGGCGGCAUGCCUAACACAUGCAAGUCGAACGACAGCACGGUAAGAGCUUGCUCCUACGGGUGGCGAGUGGCGGACGGGUGAGGAAUACAUCGGAAUCUACUAUUUCGUGGGGGAUAACGGAGGGAAACUUACACUACUACCGAAUACUAUCUACGGCUUAAAGCAGAAGUUCUUCGGACCUUGCCCGUCUCAUUGAGCCGAUGUCGGAUUAGCUAGUUGGCGGGGUAAAGGCCCACCAAGGCGACGAUCCGUAGCUGGUCUGAGAGGAUGAUCAGCCACACUGGAACUGAGACACGGUCCAGACUCCUACGGGAGGCAGCAGUGGGGAAUAUUGGACAAUGGGCGCAAGCCUGAUCCAGCCAUACCGCGUGGGUGAAGAAGGCCUUCGGGUUGUAAAGCCCUUUUGUUGGGAAAGAAAAGCAGCAGGUUAAUACCCCGCUGUUCUGACGGUACCCAAAGAAUAAGCACCGGCUAACUUCGUG
Molecule: ribosomal RNA, 492 nt
Filed under: uncultured bacterium
Lineage: Bacteria
Description: partial 16S ribosomal RNA
Rfam family: Bacterial small subunit ribosomal RNA
Source: RNAcentral